GUUUCUGUAGUGUAGUGGUUAUCUCAUUUGUCUAACAUGCAAAAGGUCCCUGAUUCAAACCCAGGCAGAAACA
Molecule: non-coding RNA, 73 nt
Organism: Chelonoidis abingdonii (Abingdon island giant tortoise)
Lineage: Eukaryota; Metazoa; Chordata; Testudines; Testudinidae
Source: the annotation of a RefSeq genome assembly